Molecule: long non-coding RNA, 1653 nt
Organism: Trifolium pratense (red clover)
Lineage: Eukaryota; Viridiplantae; Streptophyta; Magnoliopsida; Fabales; Fabaceae
Exons: 11
Source: RefSeq, a predicted model, not a curated record
UGUCAAUUGUUUUUCUCUCUCUUCUCUCUUUUCUCUCUCUCGUACUCUCUCUUUUCUCACCAUCCUCACUAACACUCUCAUCUCUCUUUAACCUCAACCAUUCCCAAUCUCUUUCUCUCUGCCCUCUCCCAUCUAAUCCUAACCUCCACCACCAUCUACAAAUCAAUCACUCGUGAGAGUGAUUUUUUGCCGAGUGAAAGAAGAUUUGCCGGCGGGAGAGAAGUUCCGGCGAGGAGGAGGAGUUCCGGCCGAGAGAAUUCUUGUGGCGGUGACACGGCGGUGCUUGGCGACGGCGGCGGUGCUUGGCGACGGCGGCGACGAUUUCUCAUUCUUUCCUCUAGCUCCAUGGAAGGAUAAGGCUCCUCCAGAACUCCAUCUUCCUCCAAGCUAGCCAAAUCUGGUGGUGGCAAGCAGAAGAAGAAGCUUAUCAUUGAAGGUUCUCAGGCCACAGCAAAGCAGACAGCAGAGUUGCUUCGGUCUGUGAUUUCACAGCAAAGGGUGCCUCAAACAAACCAGGCUACAGCUCUGAUUAAUGCAGUAAGGGCUGUGGGGGAGAAGCUUAUCACUGCUAACCCUGUUGGAAGUUUAUCCAAACAUAAAUUCUCUUGCUUUGUUUUUGAAUAUUGAGGUUAAUCCACGGCCUGAUGAGAAUAGUGAGGGAGGCAUAAUUGUUGAAAUUAAGGUAAAAGAGUUGGAUCAGAAGACAGCUGAAGUCAAUACUAAAUGGAGUAUUGUUCCUGGACGAGGAGGGUAUCCCACCCUGGCCUCACUUCAACCUGGCGGAACUAUUGUUUUUGAGCAUCGGAAUCUUCAAGGACUGAAUAGAGCUUGAAAAAAGAUGGUGCAGCUGAUUUUAUGAUAAUUGAAUGAGUGAAAGCUUGUAGGUUUCAAGAGAUAAAGGGUGGAGUUUGAUCUAGCUUGAAGGUUUUGAUCAUCUCUUAUAAGAGUGUGGCAUGGACAAGGAAGGUGGAGAUAAAUAAUGCUCGCUAGAUUGAUGAAAUAUUUGAUGCAAUAAGUUAUAGAAAAGGUGCAUCUGUUAUUAGGAUGCUGCAAAGCUAUCUUGGUGCUCAAUGCUUUCAGCUCUUGAAAAGCUAUUGAAAGAACACACUGGGAGGUUUGCCACUGGAGAUGAAGUUUUCAUGGCAGAUAUAUUUUUAGCACCUCAGAUACACUCUGCAUUUAAGAAAUUCAACAUUGACAUGUGUAUGUGCAGUGAGUACAAUCAGAUAAAUACCCUAUAUGCCGCCAAGCUAUCGAGGAGCUUAUAGAGAUCAAGAUAAACAAUGGCGACGACCAAUGACAUCUUUUGCCCUGAAGCCAAGCUGAAUUAAGUGGAUAGUUUUGUUUUUUUAUGUUUUAUUCACUUUAUGUAAAUUGCAGCCAAUAAUCUGUUUAUAGCUCAUAUGUAUUGUUAUUAUAAUCAAUAAAAAAAUAGAUUAUAUGUCGUUAUCCUGUUGCUGAAUGUUACUCCUGCUCAUUUAAAUUGUAUAGGUGAUUGUUUUGUUUUGGUCUGUGUGUGAUAUUUAAGAGAGGAUCAUUAUUCAUUUGUAUUGUGUAGAUCUGAUUUGAUCACUGGAUGACUUCUUUGUAAUGUAUCUUGAAGGUGAAGGUUCCUCUACUGUAUUAUGUUUGAAAGUUAUCAUAGGGAUCUUU